AGGAGCGUUCGGCCCGUCGCAAGCGCGUCAGACGCAUCGGCGAUCGGACCUCGUGCCGGUUCCGAUCUCUGGCGACUGUUGGCGGCGGAGCUCUCGAACAGACCCCUGACCGAUCUGCGACGCUAUAGCUUUGGGUACUUUCAGGACCCGUCUUGAAACACGGACCAAGGAGUCUAGCAUGUGCGCGAGUCAUUGGGACAAACUAGACCCAAAGGCGCAAUGAAAGUGAAGGUCCGCCUCGCGCGGACUGGGGGAGGACGGGCGGUUCGCCCUCAAAAGCGGCCGCCCCGCACUCCCGGGGCGUCUCGUUCUCAUCGCGAGGAGAGGCGCACCGAGAGCGUACACGCUGGGACCCGAAAGAUGGUGACCUAUGCCUGGUCAGGACGAAGUCAGGGGAAACCCUGAUGGAGGUCCGUAGCGAUUCUGACGUGCAAAUCGAUCGUAAGAACG
RNAcentral lists this ribosomal RNA (450 nucleotides) under Curculionidae sp. NZAC 03012874. Its description in RNAcentral is "eukaryotic LSU rRNA". It matches the Rfam family "Eukaryotic large subunit ribosomal RNA", at positions 603 to 912 of the family's 3401-position model. Lineage: Eukaryota; Metazoa; Arthropoda; Insecta; Coleoptera; Curculionidae. The record is from RNAcentral.